Long non-coding RNA from Haliotis rubra (blacklip abalone), 397 nucleotides. RefSeq lists it as uncharacterized. The transcript is spliced from 3 exons. The record is from RefSeq and is a predicted model, not a curated record. NCBI's taxonomy places the organism in Eukaryota, Metazoa, Mollusca, Gastropoda, Lepetellida, Haliotidae.
CCAGCCGCGUCUUACCAAAAGACGUUAAAAUAUGCUACUUGAUGUUCCCUACCUAGAGCUCGGCAUUAAUGAGUAAAAAGGCGGUUUCUACGUUUGCAUCCUAAAAGAAAAGACUGCCUACAACAGAGUGUUUGAAUGUAUAGAUGCUGGUUGACAUCAGUCAGUACAGACAGGCAAUGGGGACAUUUGCAGUCGGGCUACACUCGUAUGCAGCGUUUGGAAUACAGCUAGAAUGUACCUCGAAUACAGUCAGAACGUCUCGAAUGCUCAUCAAAUAUGCCCUGAGGUCAUCAGAACACCGCCGAAUCGCAUAAAAACGUGGCCACCUUUCACAGAAACGCCAGAUAGCAUUUGGGAGUCGCAUUCUUAUAAAGCUUGAAAAAUUGUUUAUUUUGAC